UCGGGGUUUAUUCCGGAUAUUUGGUUAUUUUGUUGGGGUUCGUUCUGAUAACCUUUGUCUUUGGUGUUCGCUGGUUAGCGAUUGCUAUUGUUGGGAGUCGGAUGUAAGUCCAUGUAUUGGCAUUCUGUUUCCUUCUGUUUGUUGUUGUUAAGAGUCAGGUGUAAGUCCAUGUAUUGGCAUUCUGUUUCCUUUAGUUUGUUGUUGUUGGGCGUCAGGUGUAAGUCCAUGUAUUGGCAUUCUGUUUCCUUUUGUUUGGUUAUUGUUGGGAGUCGGGUGUAAGUUCAUGUAUUGGCAUUCUGUUUCCUGUUUGUUGUUGUGGGGAGUCGGGUGUAAGUCCAUGUAUUGGCAUUCUGUUUCCUUUUGGGUGUGUCUUUUGACGUCUCAACGUCCCUUUUUGGUGUCUUGUUUCGGCGUGCGUUAGCCGAGCUACGAGUGCUCUGAUUCUCCUCUGGAUAGAGAAGAUACGUAGGCAUAAGACGCGAUGUCUUAGCGAGCAUGUCUCCUUUUCCCCGAACUACAUUGACUCUGAUGUUUGUUUCUGACAAACUACGUAGGCCCAGGAUGCGACAUCCUGCCGAGUCCACUUCCUCCGUCUUUUU
This 599-nucleotide long non-coding RNA is filed under the name Lathyrus oleraceus (garden pea). RNAcentral describes it as "Pisum sativum (pea) long non-coding RNA (PSAT_LNC022756)". Lineage: Eukaryota; Viridiplantae; Streptophyta; Magnoliopsida; Fabales; Fabaceae. The record is from RNAcentral.